CAAAACAAUAUAGCCUACUGAUAAAUAUUAUUUUAUUUUCUCUUUCUUUGAUAAAUAAAACAAUUAAUUUAAAAAUACAAAUGUUUUAGAAAGUCGAGUCAGAACUUUCGUCAGCUGCCAACUCUUGACUACAAUGUCAUCAAUUCCUUUGUUCCCUGGUACAAAAGCUGUACUCUAUUCUGAUAGUUGAACAAUGAGCCGGUGGCAUUCUUGAAUGACUUUUGAAACUUGGAAUGAUUUGAAAAACAAUGUAAGGCAGAAAGUAUCAUUACUGGGUAAGAAUAAUUCAAAAUUUGAUGGAGAAUCUCCUAUUUAUAUAAAAUUGUCAUCUCUUGAGAAGAGAGUGACAGGAAUGAUAGGUUGGGUUGUGACUGAAAUUCAUCCAUCAGCUGAAUCUUCUUUCAUUCCUGCAAACCAG
This 418-nucleotide long non-coding RNA is filed under the name Androctonus crassicauda. The record is from RNAcentral. Lineage: Eukaryota; Metazoa; Arthropoda; Arachnida; Scorpiones; Buthidae.